GUGCAUUAAGAUCUACAAUAGUUAUGUGGUUGUAAUGCAGAAAUGAACAUACUUUACCUUGACUUGCUAUAAUUUGAUCCGGCAACUUCAUGUGCUAAGGACUUCCUUGUACACUAUGUUCUUCAUGGUCGUUAAUAAGGGCUCAGAUCUUUUUCGCUUCUUUGAAUUCUUGCUUUCUUCCUUACCCUUGCCCUUACCCUUGCCAUUGUCCUUGAUGGCGAGAAUCUUGAUGUUCCUCUUUGAUGUGGCUCUAGACAAUGCGACGUAGAGCUGACCGUGAGAGAAAACCGGGUCCGGUAGGUACACCCCGACAAUUGGGAUGGUCUACCCUUGCGCCUUGUUGAUUGUCAUGGCAAAGCUGAGCCUAAUAGGGAACUGCUUCCUCUUGAACUUGAAAGGGAAUAUAUCGUCAUCGGAUGGGCAGAGAGGUAUCCGAGGAAGGAACACCCUCCUACCAGCAUGUUGUCCUAGCACAAUUUCUGCAUCAAUGGCGUUCCUCUGAAAACCCCGGACCACAAGCCUUGUGCCGUUACACAACCCAUUAGCUGGAUCAAUGUUUCUCAACAGUAUAACAGGGCAAUUUAUCUUUAGUUUGAGUGCAUGCGGAGGCAGCCCGUUGGGAGUCAGAUUAUUAAGGAAUUCGGGGGCAUAGUAGCCGUGUGGAUCAUCCUCUGCACUAUCAAAACUGUGGUAGAUCUUCUCUUCGCCCUAGAAGCGCUCUAUCAUGCGCGUAUUUAUCUUAUCAACGUUGUCGUUGUUGGUGGAGAGGAUUGCUCGAGAUGUCAUGUAAUUUGGAUCAGCCAUGUUGUCGUCCAGAGCAGGAAAUGCAUGGUUGAUUAGCUUCUCUAGGUCAGCGCCGUCUCCUGUUGGCGGCAAAUAUCUUCGGGGAGCCUUAUGUUGCCUUCCUCGUCAGUUUCCUCGGUCCCAUUACCUACCCAUAGCAAGUAAUCUGCGAACCACGGGUCGUUAUGCGCCCUCAUGUUGGUGACGAGCCUUAGCUGGCGCAUGCCAUUCCAAAGGUACGAACUCCGCAGGGUAGCAUUGAUUAUCUGACCCCGUGACCCCUUCCUGCGAUCGGAAGCACCUACCUGAAGUCCCCACCGAACACGAAUGUCUUUCCCCCGAAUGGUCGGUCCCGUCGGCCCAUGAUGUCCCGCAUGCUAUUGUCUAGUGCCUCAACCGCUUGCCGCUUCGUCAUGGUGGCCUCGUCCCAUAGGAUGAGUGAAGCCAUGUGCAGGAGCUUGGCCGUCCCACUUUGCUUCGUGAAGCUGCACAACCCCCCAUCUUCAAUGUUGAGUGGGAUCUUGAACCUUGAGUGGGCUGUCCUUCCUCCAGGCAUGAUGGAAGCUGCGAUGCCUGACGUCGCUGUAGCUAGCGCGAUCUUGCCCUCGCCUUGAACCUUUGCAAGAAGUGACCUGUAUAGGAAGGUCUUCCCGGUGCCUCCCGGGCCAUCGACAAAGAAUAUACCACCAUCACCAGCAUCAACUGCUGCUAGUAUCUCGUCGUAUGCAAGCCUCUGCUCAGGUGGCGGACUCCUCGAUGACUUCUCUGGCCUCACCUCCAGUAGUGUCAUAGGUCUCGUCGAUGUCCGGAAGAGGGAACAAUGCUAUGUCUUUGCCCAUGGACUGUAGCAUGCCCCUAAUGUCAAGCAACACCAUCUGCUCCACUGCCUUUGAGCACGCGUGUAUUCGACGGUAGUCAUCGGACAUCGCGUCUAGGUGCCUAUCCCAUAGACCGCGCACGUCACCUGGCUCGCAGAAUACCAAGAUAGUUGCAAAGAGCCUCCUAAGUGAGGCUGGCAUCGCGAACUGUGUUGACUCUGUAAGACACUCGUCAAGCGUGUUGUCGGCCUCAAUGAGGCCCAAUCUCUCGGCAGCCUCACGAAAGCUAUCACAUAGCACUCCAUCCACGGUCUGCAGGUCCUCGAAGGAUGUCUUGCCUGGUAUGUGGUUAAGCAGCACUCGCAGAAAGUACCGCUCCCCCUCGGCUGGAUGGGCUGACACGAUUCAACCUACUUGGUGCUGCUUUUCUCUCGGCCUCCAGUAUUUCUGUCUCUGCCAUGUGAAACUUCCUGGAAAGUCCUUGUACAGGAUAUCCCGAGCCCACACGUGCUACUAAUUAGCGAGGAAAUACUCUGUCAGCAUUGACUUAGAUGCAGUAUCACGUGCGACGACAUCGGUCAGGUCCUCUCCUGCUUUGAACGUGACACUAUACAUAUUAGGGAGAUGAAGCGGCAACUGUAGGACCGACGGGAAACUCUCAGAAAGGUUGAAGCCGAAUAUCCUCCACAUCGCCUCCGGUGGAGUAACCCAUCUCGCAUCAACAUACCUUUUAAUCUCGUCUACAACCCCGUUGCUGUCAGGCUGGUCAAUACUGAAUGAAGCUCGAUCGUGACCCUUGUAUACGUAUUUGUAAAGGUACUUGACAGCCUUGAUGCUGGAGCACACCUCGACAUUUAUGUGGCAGUUGAACAUCCGCAACAGAUAAGGGUUGUAAGGCACGACCCAUCGAUUAUCCAGCAUUUGACGAUGGACCUUAGCCUGACGACCAUCGUCUCGCCGUCGAUAAACCGGGUAUGAAUCCUUCCCCUGUAAGGUGUUCUGGUUGAACGGUCGUGGGUACUUGCUCUUGCACUUCAAGUCUUGCAUGCACACAUUUUUGGGAUUAAGAUUGCUACAUGGGCCGUGCAUCAUAUGCUUCACGACCAUGGCAUAGAGCUCCGGAUACUUAUACCUGUCCGGGAGCUCUGCAGAUAUGACGCGGUCAUACUGCUCUGGCACCACGAGUUUAUAACUUGAAUUCAUGAUCAGCAGGAAGUGUGCAUGGGGGAGGCCCCUCUUCUGGAACUCGACGACAUACACAUGCGCUACCACAACACCAAGGAUGUGCUUUUUGAACAACAUCUCUUUCAUGGUCUCCAGCUUGGCCCUGAACAUGCGUGCCACAAGAUCUGGUCGGUCAUGGGGUGUCUAGCCAGGAAGCAGCUCAUUCAGUAUCUCCUCCCAGCUAGGAUUGCAUGUCAUAGUCAAAAAGAUGUCAGGCUUCCCAUAUGUCUGCACGAGUGCCAUGGCGUCCAUCUGCCUCCGCUUCAUGUCUCGGUUGCUUCCUUGAUGCGUCCCUGGCAGCACGAUCCUCUUCCCAACAGCGCUCGCUCGCAUCUCCCCAACCGCGAUGCUAUCCACAAGGCCUUGGUAUAGAUCGACAUGUAUCUCUCUCUGGUGGUCCCUGAUCCACUUUAGCCUACAUCCCUCAAUCUUGAUGAACAUGUCGACACCCCACUGCUGAAACAGGCAUGCUCCAUGUAGUAUGGGGUUGAAUAUCGCAGGGCGCGUCUGUAGCCGGUAAUAGUAGUAGUCCCUGACAGAGACACACAACCGGCUGUUCCCCUCUGUGGAAAGACGUGAAAGAAGAAGGUUAGGUACCAUAUGGAAGGAUAGAGAACUUUUUCUGGCAUAUAAGCAUACCAACCAGGCGCACCUGAAUCGUUAUCACGGUUUCCUCUUGGUUGUUGUGCAACCUCCCAAGGGACAUUGUGCUUAGGGAUAUUUGGAUGCCAACCAAGCUCCCCCCUUGGAAAAAAGAGGGGAUACGAGAGCGGGUCAUAACAGCCAUCUGUGGCAUGUAUACUAUACUUCUCGUUGUUGUCCCCAUAGAGUGUAAUGCUGCGGUUGAACCUGUUUGCUAGAUUGCUUCCCUCGACCCAAAUCGCAGCCACCACGGAUGACACGGGUCUAUUAUAUCUUCGUUGGUCUAGCUUCUGGUAAAUGUUGAGGUCUAUCCGGUACUCCUCGAGGUUUUCCUUGUGGGCACCCAAACUCCUAAACUGUUGGGAGUAGGGGUUUUCCCUCAGGACGUCCACUAACUUGCUGACAACGUGCUGGUCCAAUUGCUUGGUGGCCUCCUUCCGAUGGCUUAAGCUGGGAUCGUCAUCGUAGAAGUACAACUGCAGAUGUUCAGGGCGAGAUCUUGGACCAAACGAGUGCACCUUGUGGUACAUAGUGCCAUGUGCCCGAAACGUGUACACCCCGGACUUCAUGUUUGUGUAGUUGUUGUCUAGGCUGACGCCAAGGGUAGUGAAGGCAAAGUGCCCGUUGAAGAACCGAAUGCUCUCUCGGAAAUGCUGAGAGUCUGCAUCCGCGCUUGUCCAUAACCUCAUCAGCUCUGGGAUAGGCUCGGGUUCAGCUAGCUCAAUCUCCCCGUUCCGACAGCAGAAGCCGUCAGUCUCGUACUUGAACUUCUUGGCCUUGCAAUGCUCGCAGUUUGCCGCGUGCUUCAGGAUGUGCGUGCAGUCUGGGAUGUUCGAGUAGACAUAGUUGAAAGGAUCUAGGUCGAUAGAUCCCGUGUUGGAGGAUUCUACGGGCUCAUCGAGGUCCGUGCUAUCAGUGUCGGAUGCUGCAAGCAUUGUGGAGAUAUAAUAAGUCACGAUGGGAUGCACAUCAUAAACCAAUAAUAUAGAGGGAUGAGCAGCGAUGCGGAGUACCUUCACCGGCAAAUAGGUAGUACUCAUCAUCCAUGAGGUCACUGGAGAGUGCAUUCUCGUCCAUGAUGCCGCUAAGGAAGGCCUCCAUGUCAGCUGUAACAUUGUUGAGCCGGUAAGUAAUGGUUUUUAUUGUGAGUGCACACCAGGAGGGGAGUAAACAUGAGAGGGUUACCAUUGGUUCCGAUGGUGUAUGAUGGCAAGCUUGAUGAAGGGGAGGAAGCUGGUGAAGCAACUCCUGUGGGCGGUGCUUCUGAGCUUGUUGCUGCUUUGUUCACAUCUAAGGUACUUGCAUCUGGGCCUGCAGGCCUCCGUUUUUUUGAAAGCUUGCAUUACGACGAUAUAGCAAUGCUGACUUAUCACCUUCUGGUAUGAUUUUCCCGCGCGCUCUUCGUUUUAAGGCACUCCCUUGAAUGUUCUUUGCUCUAAUACUUUGUUUGUGAGCUUGCUCCCGAGCCCUACGCUGUGCUCUGCUCUCCUGCCUCUGCUCACGGGCUUGAUUCUGCUGGUCGUCUAUUUGGUGAUCAUUGGUUUGCUGCGACGGAUUUAUGAGUUUGCUGGGGGCAUCAUUAUCAUCCAGGGUACGACUAAGGUACUCGCCUGCACCGUUGUGGAGCCGUUAAAUACUGGUUCAAUGCACAUGGACACAACAAGUAGAGUAAAGAUGGAAGGAUUACCGUCUGAUUCGAAGUUUCUCCCAGCCUUACUCGCAAAACUGGGGGCAGGGGCAGGAGCUGAAGCUUCAGAUUCUCUGCAUGCCAACGCAUGAGUGCUCGACAUCAGGUUGGGUGUAGCUAAGGUAUCUGCAUCAGGGCGCGGCAUUGCGAUGGAUUCAGUGCAAGGGGUGUUGCUCCUAGCUGCGAGUCUCUUCUUGCACUGAGCUAGCAUGUUCUGCUUCUCCUUAGGUGAUAUGUUUUGCAGACGUGUUCUUCGGCGGGCAUUUGUCUCUUGCUUGUCAUGGACUGACAUAUUUUGGUAGGCCGCCCUUCUAAGGGUGUUACUCUGUUGCUUCUCCUCUGAUGUCAUUCGUUGCCUGGCUUCUCUUUGACGGGCAGUCCUCUCCUCCUCUGUUUUCUUUUUCCUAGCUUCUCUGCGACGUGCAUUGAUUUCCUCCCUCUGUUCAGGUGUUAAUCUAUUUCGCCGUGCUAUAUAUUGGUCUCGCCUUUUCUGUUUUCUAUCUGAUUUACUGAUAUCAUUUGAAGCAAUGUGCUCAGGGACAUUGUCUUCAGUGUCGAGUCCAAGUGCUAUGCCUGAACCAAUAUUAUGGUCAAUGCUUCUCUCUGUUCCUCGAAAUGAUGCAUGGUGAUCAUAUUAAGUGCCCUCACGAGAAUGAUUUCCUGAAGAACCAUUUUUUUAAUAAAUGUAUAAAUGCAAAGUGAAAAAAAGUCGUGUGUAAGGGCGAUACCGAUUGAUGUUUCCACAUGCGGCACUGGCUGAAAGGCCUUGAGAUUGCCGGCUAUAGGAAUCAUCAUAGGCAGUUGCGUGGGCACAUUGUCAUCAUCAUCGGAAGACGAAACACUGUAGUUAGUAGUGCCUGUUUGUUCGCGUAUGAAAAAACCAGAUGGUGGUCGGUGUGUAUUGGUGAGUUGUGAUCUGGGUGUCCUCUCAUAUUCGACAACUGAUAAGAUGAAUGUAAGUUAAGUUUUGAAGCUUAUUGAAUACCUUAUGUGCAGACAUGUGAUUGGCAUACACAUACCUUUUUUUCCUUUAUCAUAGAGAUGUUGUCUGUCCUGUGACAUCUUUCUGUCCUAUAGAAGCUUAAAUAAACCUGCAGUCUUUUUGCAUUAAAAAAUGAUAUGAAUUGAAUUACAAAAAUGAUAUGACCUCUGGUGACUCAUUUAACAGGCUUUUAGGACUCACUUGUUCAUUUUCAUAGACAUGUUCUUUGCAUAUGGUUUUCUUCCAAAGUAAAAUGAUUGUGCUAUUAUAUGUUGACGGCUGAAGUUUGUAUAUUUCAGUUUAUAAAGUGCAAGAUUUUGUAGAAGUUCAACUUUUAAAAAAGAGGGCUCAGACAUGGCGACAAGAAUGAAGGUGGAGGGGAAGGAGUGGAGAGAAAGAUGUCUGUCUCCACGUGGUUCAUGUGCCUAUCACCCAUUAACAAGAUCUCAGUUAUCUGCAUGGUUCUCUAAUUAGUAUGUUUUCCCGGACGAAGAGAAGGUAUGAUCCUGGACUUCUAAUGGUUCCCUAUAUACCUGACAUUGAAAUUUUACCAGUUUGUUGGAUUUCUCAAAAUCAUGUCUAACACAGUUUUUUCUGGUAAAUAUAUAGCAAGAUUUUCAUGUUGUUCCAUGCAAAAAGUAAGUUGGUUAUUUAGUUGUAUGUGGUACUUUGGUUUCAGGUUUCUUCUUACAUGGUUCCUUUGUUGUAUUUCAUGAAGGAUCCGGAUCGAUGAAUUACCAAUUUAAGACAUUCAUAUGAAAGUUUCCUGCAUUUUUCGUUGAAGCAACUAGUAUCUCUACUCUAUAUAUUAAUAGAAACAAUCACAAGGUUUUAUGUACAGGAAAUAUAUUUUUCCUGCACUUGCAAUUGCAACCACAUAUCCAUAGUUUGUUGGUUUGUUUCCAAUAAUAUGCAUGAUCUCUCUGUUGAAUUUCAAUAUUAUAGCUGCCAGUUAAGAAAAUAUGACAAGCAGUUGUGAUAUCCGAGUGUCCUUUUUGUGAUUUUCAUAUUUGUAUCACUGAUGCGUGCAGAUUUAUAAUGGUCAAGAUACUGUUGGCCAAAUCUGUUUCCCCAGAAUUAGUAGGAUUAUGUGUUCCAUUGUGCAUACCCGAAUAUUCAGAGUAAUAGGCAUGCAACAACGUCUAUACGUACUCGAUCAAUCAGUACUCUAUCCUAGAACCGAUGAAAAAAACUGUGAGCACACUUAAGUACUAACCUUCUAUUUGUAUGCACAUCAAAAAUAAGAUCUAUUAUCUUAUAUGACCACAUAUUGAUGGUACUAAAAUUGCUUCUGAUAUUGCGGGUUCAACUUGACCCUUUAAUUUGAUAGGCUUCUAAUUGAUUUGCCUCUCAAUAGGUUUCUAGCUCUCUGUAUUCCCCUUCAUGUUGUCAUAAAAACAUAUCAUUUUCUUUGGAAAAUAAAUAUAGAAACAUAUGGUCUCUAUGUCACAAUGGGCAUGCCCUGAUGUAUGUUUGCGGACUAAUCCUUCCAAAAAAAAUUUCUGGGCAUGAAAAAUUCUGGACGACGAUUUCAGCGGCGUUUCUGUUUUGGCGGUGUUAAAACAAUCUGGAAUAUAAAGGAUUCUGGAGGAGUCUGGAUGGCAAACCUAGGGAGUUCGGGCACCCCGUCGGAGAGGAAGAAGACAGUAGGCAGGCUCAGGAGAUGACGCAGCAACAGCCGUCGAGCGUUUGGACGCCCUGGUUGUGGUUCGGCAUGCGAGGCGAUCAGCAGAGGGUGCAGCUCCGACAGCUCGCGUGCGGACGAUGUGGCCGGACGAACUGGCGUCUGUUUUGGCGGCGUUCGUUUGCGUGUGGAUGGAGCUCGUACGUCAGGAAGAACUGGUGUCUUGAUGGAGCUCGUACGCCAGGAAGAACUGGCGUUCGUUGGCGGGUCGAAGAAGUUUGAUUUUUGGUCGAUGGACCUUGUCCUCGUUCGUGGCGAUCGUGGGGUUCCUGGACUUCUUGUUCGUGUGUUCUCGUACGUGGGCUGAGUUGGUGGGCGCUGAGUUCGUGUGUUGAACUGUGGAUCUGGAUCUCGUACGUGGGCUGAGUUGGUGAUUUUGCGUACGUGGGC
Long non-coding RNA from Triticum dicoccoides, 8210 nucleotides. RefSeq lists it as uncharacterized. Lineage: Eukaryota; Viridiplantae; Streptophyta; Magnoliopsida; Poales; Poaceae. The transcript is spliced from 3 exons. The record is from RefSeq and is a predicted model, not a curated record.